Daphnia pulex (common water flea) is the source of this 392-nucleotide long non-coding RNA. RefSeq lists it as uncharacterized. The record is from RefSeq and is a predicted model, not a curated record. The transcript is spliced from 3 exons. NCBI's taxonomy places the organism in Eukaryota, Metazoa, Arthropoda, Branchiopoda, Diplostraca, Daphniidae.
UUUUUUUAAUAGUGAAGCAAUACCUCCAGGCGUUACCUUUUACAGACUUUGUGGUAUAAAAUAAGCACCAGGCAUAAUCUCUCCGUCAUUUUGACUAAAACGAAAAUCGCGAAAUGUUGUCCCAGACUUUGUUGUUCGGAGCUCUUCUUUUGUCGUUUCUAGUUGCAGAUCAGCUGGAAGUAGUACACGCCUUUUCGGAAGAAGGAAGAAAAGUUAACAAUCGUUACAUGAUGGGACUUCGCGCCAAUUUUCGCCGAAGGAUUACAUAUCUCAACAACUUGAUUUCGGACAAAGAAUUCCCUAAACAAUCAACCAGAACCGCUGGCAAGUGGAUUAGGUACAGUUUUCCAAUCGUUUUGAUUGGCUAUCUUGAUUACUUUGUUGGCGGAAUA